UUCUUGUAAGAUAGAUGGGGGCUUUGUCU
Molecule: non-coding RNA, 29 nt
Filed under: Rattus norvegicus (Norway rat)
Lineage: Eukaryota; Metazoa; Chordata; Mammalia; Rodentia; Muridae
Source: RNAcentral